This 546-nucleotide ribosomal RNA is filed under the name uncultured fungus. RNAcentral's name for it is "eukaryotic LSU rRNA". The stretch from base 202 to 355 matches the Rfam family "5.8S ribosomal RNA". The record is from RNAcentral. Lineage: Eukaryota; Fungi.
AAGUCGUAACAAGGUCUCCGUAGGUGAACCUGCGGAGGGAUCAUUACAAGAACGCCCGGGCUUCGGCCUGGUUAUUCAUAACCCUUUGUUGUCCGACUCUGUUGCCUCCGGGGCGACCCUGCCUUCGGGCGGGGGCUCCGGGUGGACACUUCAAACUCUUGCGUAACUUUGCAGUCUGAGUAAACUUAAUUAAUAAAUUAAAACUUUUAACAACGGAUCUCUUGGUUCUGGCAUCGAUGAAGAACGCAGCGAAAUGCGAUAAGUAAUGUGAAUUGCAGAAUUCAGUGAAUCAUCGAAUCUUUGAACGCACAUUGUGCCCCCUGGUAUUCCGGGGGGCAUGCCUGUUCGAGCGUCAUUUCACCACUCAAGCCUCGCUUGGUAUUGGGCAACGCGGUCCGCCGCGUGCCUCAAAUCGUCCGGCUGGGUCUUCUGUCCCCUAAGCGUUGUGGAAACUAUUCGCUAAAGGGUGUUCGGGAGGCUACGCCGUAAAACAACCCCAUUUCUAAGGUUGACCUCGGAUCAGGUAGGGAUACCCGCUGAACUUAA